UGAUGUUGAGGCAAAAAUGUAG
This 22-nucleotide microRNA is filed under the name Citrus sinensis (sweet orange). RNAcentral describes it as "csi-miR3949". Lineage: Eukaryota; Viridiplantae; Streptophyta; Magnoliopsida; Sapindales; Rutaceae. The record is from miRBase by way of RNAcentral.